CUCUCUCUCUCUCUCUCUCUCUCUCUCUCUCUCUCCAUCCAUCCCCCUCUCUCUCUCUUCAUCCAUCCCCCUCUCUCUCUCUCUCUCCAUGAUCUGUCUGUAACCUGCCAGGUGAUCUGUCUGUAACCUGUCAGGUGGUCUGAUGCUGUCAGGUGAUCUGUCUGUAACCUGCCAGUUGCUCUGUCUGUAACCUGCCAGGUGGUCUGUCUGUAACCUGUCAGGUGAUCUGUCUGUAACCUGCCAGGUAAUCUGUCUGUAACCUGCCAGGUGAUCUGUCUGUAACCUGUCAGGUGAUCUGUCUGUAACCUGCCAGGUGAUCUGUCUGUAACCUGCCAGGUGAUCUGUCUGUAACCUGCCAGGUGAUCUGUCUGUAACCUAUGUCCUCGAUGCCAUAGAAGGAUGUCCCUAUGUCCUCGAUGCCAUAGAAGGAUGUCCCUAUGUCCUCAAUGCCAUAGAAGGAUGUUCCCUAUGUCCUCGAUACCAUAGAAGGCUGUUCCCUAUGUCCUCAAUACCAUAAAGGCUGUUCCCUAUGUCCUCAAUGCCAUAGAAGGCUGUUCCCUAUGUCCUCGAUGCCAUAGAAGGCUGUCCCCUAUGUCCUCGAUGCCAUAGAAGGCUGUUCCCUAUGUCCUCGAUGCCAUAGAAGGCUGUUCCCUAUGUCCUCAAUGCCAUAGAAGGCUGUCCCCUAUGUCCUCGAUGCCAUAGAAGGCUGUUCCCUAUGUCCUCGAUGCCAUAGAAGGCUGUUCCCUAUGUCCUCGAUGCCAUAGAAGGCUGUUCCCUAUGUCCUCGAUGCCAUAGAAGGCUGUCCCUAUGUCCUCAAUGCCAUAGAAGGCUGUCCCUAUGUCCUCAAUGCCAUAGAAGGC
This 860-nucleotide long non-coding RNA is filed under the name Salmo salar (Atlantic salmon). RNAcentral describes it as "lncRNA (ENSSSAG00000113176.1)". Lineage: Eukaryota; Metazoa; Chordata; Actinopteri; Salmoniformes; Salmonidae. The record is from RNAcentral.